This 406-nucleotide ribosomal RNA is filed under the name uncultured bacterium. Its description in RNAcentral is "partial 16S ribosomal RNA". It matches the Rfam family "Bacterial small subunit ribosomal RNA", at positions 29 to 526 of the family's 1533-position model. The record is from RNAcentral.
AUUGAACGCUGGCGGCAGGCCUAACACAUGCAAGUCGAACGAGUGGCGGACGGGUGAGUAAUGUCUGGGAAACUGCCUGAUGGUGGGGGAUAACUACUGGAACAGGUAGCUAAUACCGCAUACCCUCGGAUGUGCCCAGAUGGGAGUAGCUAGUAGGUGGGGUAAAGGCUCACCUGGGCGACGAUCCCUAGCUGGUCUGAGAGGAUGAACAGCCACACUGGAACGGAGACACGGUCCAGAUUCCGACGGGAGGAAGAAGUGGGGAAUAUUGCACAAUGGGCGCAAGCCUGAUGCAGCCAUGCCGCGUGUAUGAAGAAGGCCGUCGGGUUGUAAAGUACUUUCAGCGGGGAGGCGUGACCCGCAGAAGAAGCACCGGCUAACUCCGUGCCAGCAGCCGCGGUAAUUC